UGGCGCUGGCCAGGUUAGAAAACACUUCGAUUAAAUCUGUCUCACCAGCAUAGAAUUAAGCAUCUGAUAAGAAAUAGGGU
Molecule: small RNA, 80 nt
Filed under: Homo sapiens (human)
Lineage: Eukaryota; Metazoa; Chordata; Mammalia; Primates; Hominidae
Description: nc036 non-coding RNA
Source: RNAcentral